UACGAGGGGGGCAAGCGUUGUUCGGAAUUAUUGGGCGUAAAGGGUGCGUAGGCGGUUUGACAAGUCUGAUGUGAAAUCUAUGGGCUCAACCCAUAGUCUGCAUCGGAAACUGUCGGGCUUGAGUAUGGGAGAGGUGAGUGGAAUUUCCGGUGUAGCGGUGAAAUGCGUAGAUAUAGGAAGGAACACCAGUGGCGAAGGCGACCACCUGGACUGAUACUGACACUGAGGUGCGAAAGCGUGGGGAGCAAACAGG
RNAcentral lists this ribosomal RNA (253 nucleotides) under uncultured prokaryote. RNAcentral's name for it is "partial 16S ribosomal RNA". It matches the Rfam family "Bacterial small subunit ribosomal RNA", at positions 524 to 776 of the family's 1533-position model. The record is from RNAcentral.